GUUUUCCCAGCAUUGAAGAGUCCGGCUGCGCUCCAUAAACAGAGGAAAAGUCUCGAGCGAUCCAAGACUGGAGAUGAUUUAAAACACAAAAUCAGAAAUCGACCUGAGAAAUCUGAGCUUGCCAACAUGCGUAUUCUACAAGUGAACCAUGGGAAGCUGUCGCAGCAGGGGGACUCGUACGUGUUUGAGGAGGACAGCAGCAGUGAGAGUCUGUCUCCAGAUCAGCCGCACAGUGAGGAGUCCCAGUGUUCAGCUGAAGCACUUACAGAGAACAAGAGCAGCUCCAGCUCACCCACACUCAUCAACACUG
Long non-coding RNA from Carassius carassius (crucian carp), 310 nucleotides. RefSeq lists it as uncharacterized. NCBI's taxonomy places the organism in Eukaryota, Metazoa, Chordata, Actinopteri, Cypriniformes, Cyprinidae. The record is from RefSeq and is a predicted model, not a curated record. The transcript has 3 exons.